GAUGAACGCUAGCGGCAGGCCUAACACAUGCAAGUCGAGGGGUAGCAGGAUUAAGCUUGCUUAAUUGCUGACGACCGGCGCACGGGUGCGUAACGCGUAUGCAACCUACCUUAUACUGGGGUAUAGCCCGGAGAAAUUCGGAUUAAUCCCCCAUAGUACUAAUGAAUCGCAUGGUUUAUUAGUUAAAGCAUUGCGGUAUAAGAUGGGCAUGCGUCCUAUUAGCUAGAUGGUGAGGUAACGGCUCACCAUGGCUACGAUAGGUAGGGGGCCUGAGAGGGUGGUCCCCCACACUGGUACUGAGACACGGACCAGACUCCUACGGGAGGCAGCAGUGAGGAAUAUUGGUCAAUGGGCGCGAGCCUGAACCAGCCAUGCCGCGUGCAGGAAGAAUGCCCUAUGGGUUGUAAACUGCUUUUAUUUGGGAAUAAACCUCUUUACGUGUAGAGAGCUGAAGGUACCAAAUGAAUAAGCGCCGGCUAACUCCGUGCCAGCCGCCGCAGUAA
Molecule: ribosomal RNA, 503 nt
Filed under: uncultured bacterium
Lineage: Bacteria
Description: partial 16S ribosomal RNA
Rfam family: Bacterial small subunit ribosomal RNA
Source: RNAcentral